This 373-nucleotide ribosomal RNA is filed under the name uncultured Bacteroidota bacterium. RNAcentral describes it as "bacterial SSU rRNA". It matches the Rfam family "Bacterial small subunit ribosomal RNA", at positions 521 to 896 of the family's 1533-position model. The record is from RNAcentral. Lineage: Bacteria; Pseudomonadati; Bacteroidota.
UAAUACGGAGGGUCCGAGCGUUGUCCGGAAUUAUUGGGUUUAAAGGGUGCGUAGGCGGUUUAAUAAGUCAGAGCUGAAAUCCCAGGGCUUAACCCUGGAACUGGCUUUGAUACUGUUAGACUUGAAUAUACUAGAGGUAGGCGGAAUUUAUGAUGUAGCGGUGAAAUGCAUAGAUAUCAUAAAGAACACCGAUAGCGAAGGCAGCUUACUGGAGUAUUAUUGACGCUGAGGCACGAAAGCGUGGGUAGCGAACAGGAUUAGAUACCCUGGUAGUCCACGCCGUAAACGAUGUUCACUCGCUGUGUGCGAUAUACUGUACGCGGCCAAGCGAAAGCAUUAAGUGAACCACCUGGGGAGUACGUUCGCAAGGAUG